Molecule: long non-coding RNA, 1651 nt
Organism: Helianthus annuus (common sunflower)
Lineage: Eukaryota; Viridiplantae; Streptophyta; Magnoliopsida; Asterales; Asteraceae
Exons: 7
Source: RefSeq, a predicted model, not a curated record
GCUUUUUUGUCAAUUGCAGAGAGAGAGAGAUAGAGGAUAAGGAGAAAAGAGAGAGCUCAACCCUAAUUCCUUUUGUCGCCACUUCUCCAUAGGCGCCGCCGAAACCAUCUCCUCUUCUGAUAGAGCUUAUGAUCUUGGGUUUGUUGUUUAGUUCUGGCUGGAAUCCGAGUCGAUCGUUUCACAAUUACUAUGGCGUCUUCUAGGGUUUCAGGAAAAGUCCAAAUCAAGCAAAUCCAUUUGGUCCAUCACUAAAGGUCAACUCUCCAACCUCAACUGACUAUGUUCUUUUGAGUAUUGUAGAAUGACCAUGUUUCACUCCUUCAAAUUUAAUCACUUCGGUCAGAUCUGCAACGAUGAGCUUUUCUCUGUCUCUAAUUUCUCAACAAAUGAUGAUGUAGCGAAGUUUCUUCAGAGAUGGUUCUGGCUGGAAGCCGAGUCGAUCUGAGAUAAUGGAUGCUCUCGGGUUUCUGAAGGUUUUAUGAUCUCUGCUGUGUGUACUGCUGGGUGAAGGUAUACUGACUGAGGCAGGAGAAACAACUUUUUAAAAAAGGUUACAGUGCUAAGUGGCACAAAUGGUAUAUUUAGUGUAAUUUUCAUAUGAUUAUUUAGCUAGAUUGGUUAUAAAUUUUGCUAGUAGUGAAUCAUGUAGAUAUUUGGGGACAAUGGGGUUGCUCCAGAUUGAUUUUACAUGGACUGACAAGUGUUUUCUAAUAUGUUACUGAUGGUUUUUUUGUCCAAUGAAGAAGCUGAAGAUAUCAAGAAAAUGUUUUUUUAAAAGAUGGCGUUGUAACAACUGAAAUACUGAAAGGUGGACUACAAAAGUUUAAUACACGUUGUCGAGUCUGUGCUUAUUGAAGAUGCGUUCUAUACACACUUCCGGAAUAUCAUAGCCAUAUAUCCCGACCGCCUGCAGUGGUCAAACAACAGGCACGAAAACCAUAACCCUCGUGGAGCUAUUUCUGAUCGACACAUUGGAGAUGUUGCACAUCGAUUCAGUACAGGAGCACAUGAAGAGUAUACCGAGCUCUCAGCCGUGGAAGGUUUGGCCCAAUAUACCAAACUAAUCUGGGAGAUUGCCGAUCAGUUGCCAUCAAAAAGCUCAUAGUCUCGGGCCUUGUAAAAUCUCAAGAAGAUUUCUCGAGGGAGGUUAAGAAACUGGGAAAGAUUCAUCAUCUGAAUCUUGUAGCACUCGAAGGGUCAUCCACCAAAUUACAGAAAUGGUGCUGUUUUGAGUUAGGAAACGGAGAAGAAGAGAACAGGGGAGAGUGUGCUGUGCAAGUGGCAGCUCCGUUAUUUAAGGUUUGGCUUCCUUUUGGGUUUUCUAUUGGUCUUGCGGAUUGUUAGAAAUUUGUUAUGGAUGAAACAAAGAAGAAAUCAGAAGAUAUGUCAGGUGACCCUUCGUCAGGACUAAUGUGGGAUGUAAAAAUUACACACUUUGUAUUUGCUUUGUUUUAUGAUUUAGAUGUACCUUUAUUUUAUUAGUUUUUUUUUUUUUCUGAAUUUUUUUUUUUAUCAUAUCUAAACAUCAAAUACAAUAAGCAUGUCAUUGUAUAUUUUUUACUACAUUUGUUAUUUAAGUCCUAAUUUGUUAUUUAAGUCCUGUUAUUGUAGUCCAUAAAUUAUUGAAUGCAUGCUUUUUAGUAUAUUUGUU